Molecule: non-coding RNA, 28 nt
Filed under: Mus musculus (house mouse)
Lineage: Eukaryota; Metazoa; Chordata; Mammalia; Rodentia; Muridae
Source: RNAcentral
UCCAACCCGGAAGUCCCGCCUACUCACC